This 2869-nucleotide long non-coding RNA is filed under the name Varroa destructor (honeybee mite). Its description in RNAcentral is "uncharacterized LOC111255337". The record is from RNAcentral. Lineage: Eukaryota; Metazoa; Arthropoda; Arachnida; Mesostigmata; Varroidae.
UAGUAUUUGUGAAGUGUCAGUACAUUUAGCCGUUGAUUCAGCAAAAAUUCUCGUUGGAAUACACACCAAGCUUAUGACCGAUGGAAGAGUGAAGACUACUAGCAGAUUAUCGUAAACUGAAGAUCAUUUGUUCUACGAAAACGAAAGUCGCUUUGGAAAUAAUGAAACGAAUGGAAUAUCUGAAGGCAUUCAAUUAUGGAACACUUGGCAAAACUCCUUAAACACGCUGCGCAGGGGUUAAAAUGAGCAGUACAAAAUGACAGGACUGAACAACAUCAAUAUGCAUUAAGCGUGACCUCCCCGCCAGCCGUUGACCGAGUCCUACAUAUAGCGCUCGACCACCGGGACGUCCGUCCUUUGUGGUAGCAUUUCAUUGCAAAGUUGAAGGACCCAAUAUACACAUGCAGGCGCACGCACGGCUGCGGCGACGGCUGUAGCUUGGGCUAUCUGUAUGAACUUUGCACCCGCCGGAACAUCACCGCAAUCCAAGUGCCCACCAGCAACAACACGCAGAGGAGUUUCCAGCGCUAGAAAUCGUCGUGGACCGGACUGUGGAUGACCCCUCGAUUGCGGAUAGGAAGAAGCGGUAAGUAGCGCAUAGCGGGGACGGCUGGAUACUCUGGGCGGCUAUGAGUGGCAGUGGCAUUAGCUGUCUGCCGCGAGUGUCAUGCCAUCCAUUGUGCACAAGCGAGUUGAGAAGUGAGAUUUGGGGACCCGUGUGGGACGGCCAGGAAGAUGGGGAUCAACGAAAUCGUCACGAUCCAUCAUGCAGCCAGCGGCAGCAGGGAAAAAGAGUUAGCCAGUAGCGAAAAAAGGGACAGGAAGUGUUGGCCUAUUUUCCUAAAGCUGGCUCUCCUUCACUUCAACGGCGAUAACACUAAUGGCAACAGCUCUCACUCAACUUCGGAAUCGUAUCAUGUGAUGCUACAUGCGGUCACACAUCCAGAACACAGAGUUAACUAUCGCUCAAUUCAUAUUUAGUAUAAGUAAUCACAGUUUCGAUGAACGACUGACAAAGCAUUCGGGCGUUCUUCGACCUAUAUGCAGAAGCAGGUCCACUAGACGAAAGAAACGAGUGAAUGGCUGUUUGUUUAUGUUGGCACUAUCAUAUUGAGGAAGGAUCGAUUUAACCUGACUGUAUUUUAGAAGGACUCAUUGAUGUCAAUCAUAUUAUGUGUAACUAUUAUUUCUAGAAUAAUAACUAUUAGCCACGACAAAUUGUUGUCGUUUCUAAAUUUGUCAUAGCUAGACCGAACACUUUCAAUCGGGUCGGUUCAAAAUCUUCUUAGACAGAGUAAACGAUCGCAAUGCGGUCAACGACCUGGAGACUAGAGUAAGGCCUUACCGUCUGCAUGAUUGUGCCUACAUACGGAACCUACCUCUUUCUUACCAGCUCCAUCAUGUACUUAAAAAAAACAUUCCGAUAAGAGCAAAAACGGUUUACGAAACAGAAGAGUUCUUAAAGAAUUCAUCAGUGUCGUCCAAAAUAAAAUGUCAUACGUCAAUAUGAUAAAGAGCUCCUUUUAGAAUGUUAGGCCAUUUAUAUGCAUGUUGAAAAAGGCCAUACGCGUCUCUCAGCAAAAUUGACCAAUGAAAAAUUAACGGACAACAAGUGCCAAUUUCUACUUAUGAUUACACGGAACACUACGAGCGAUCGAUUCUUCAUCGACAAGCAAGCUAUACAAACGUACCGCAGGUCCUAGUCUCAACAAUCUCGGUCGCCAGUCCAAAAUACUGGCAAUAAAAGGCUAAUAAGGUUAAACUGCCUAUCAUCAAAAGAACACUGUAUUGUGUAAGGCUGUCACAACCGGUCAGGUUUGCUCUUGGAGAAAUCAGCUCAAAAGAAGAGUAUUUUGGUCUGAAAAGUAGUGAUGAAGUGUUUCUUGCUCAAAGGUCCCAGCGCUGCGGAUAUUCACGGAAAAUUGGUGAAGGCGUCAGGUAAGAAAGCACAAAGCGUGAAUGGUAUAAACCAAUACGGAGAUAAUGUAGCAAGACUGCAAGUUGGGGCGUUGAAGGCUAGCGAGGAGAUGAUCACAUAUCGGGAGCCGAGGAACACGAAGGUGUUACUGCAAUCGAAAAGCCUUUUCGCGAAAGCAGACCUUCGGGUGCAGGAGCUUUGUCGGCUAGAACCGGCAUAGUACAAAUUUAUGAUUUAACUGAGUAAAACACGGGUUUCCCGGCUAUUCGAAGCCGGUUGUAAAUUUAUGCGUUAUAUUCCGCGUGCAAUUUUGACAAUUUUAGCCAACAAGAAAGUCGCCAUAGACCAGAUAUAAUCUAACGUCUAUUGACGGCCGGAGGGGAAUCACAAGGCAGAAUUGCGUUGCCUUAAAGAAAAGUCGAAUUUGGCGGCAGUACCGAGUAGGUUUGGACAUAAGGUAAAUGUAGACUCUACUCGACAUUAGGGACCUCCAUUACUGACAAGUGCUCGCUGAUAAUUGAGCAAUGAAUGCGGCCCGCUAUCUCGAAUUCGUCAAAAGAUUCAUGACCCCUUGGCACGGCAGUUGAAAGCUCAUAGUCUGGUUGCCUAAUGACAACGUCAGAUCUCCCCAAUUGCUCCGUGGAUUGUUUUCUACAUAAAAAAAAAUAGCUCGUGUUGACAAACGCAUUUCGAAAUCUGCGUAUGUUUGCGAAGUCUAGCGAAGAAUAUAUCUCUCGAAAUAUAUGUCAGCUCUAAGUAGAAUUCGGGAUCGUUUCAGAUGUCAAGUAACCUAAGAUGGCAUUCUGACACGCUGAUCAGAAUGUCUCCACGUUACACUUCAUUUUAAAGCAUGACAAUAAAAAGCAGACCUCAGAGCGUAUCUAUUACAAAAUAGUUCUAUUGUUCACUAGGACGUAUCUCUUUUGGCUGAACAACGAGCAGCGAACACGU